RNAcentral lists this non-coding RNA (29 nucleotides) under Homo sapiens (human). The record is from RNAcentral. Lineage: Eukaryota; Metazoa; Chordata; Mammalia; Primates; Hominidae.
UCUUCCAGUCUGGAAUUGUAAAUGGGACC